GGCUCACCUAGGCGACGAUCCCUAGCUGGUCUGAGAGGAUGACCAGCCACACUGGAACUGAGACACGGUCCAGACUCCUACGGGAGGCAGCAGUGGGGAAUAUUGCACAAUGGGCGCAAGCCUGAUGCAGCCAUGCCGCGUGUGUGAAGAAGGCCUUCGGGUUGUAAAGCACUUUCAGCGGGGAGGAAGGCGAUAAGGUUAAUAACCUUGUCGAUUGACGUUACCCGCAGAAGAAGCACCGGCUAACUCCGUGCCAGCAGCCGCGGUAAUACGGAGGGUGCAAGCGUUAAUCGGAAUUACUGGGCGUAAAGCGCACGCAGGCGGUCUGUCAAGUCGGAUGUGAAAUCCCCGGGCUCAACCUGGGAACUGCAUUCGAAACUGGCAGGCUAGAGUCUUGUAGAGGGGGGUAGAAUUCCAGGUGUAGCGGUGAAAUGCGUAGAGAUCUGGAGGAAUACCGGUGGCGAAGGCGGCCCCCUGGACAAAGACUGACGCUCAGGUGCGAAAGCGUGGGGAGCAAACAGGAUUAGAUACCCUGGUAGUCCACGCCGUAAACGAUGUCGAUUUGGAGGUUGUGCCCUUGAGGCGUGGCUUCCGGAGCUAACGCGUUAAAUCGACCGCCUGGGGAGUACGGCCGCAAGGUUAAAACUCAAAUGAAUUGACGGGGGCCCGCACAAGCGGUGGAGCAUGUGGUUUAAUUCGAUGCAACGCGAAGAACCUUACCUGGUCUUGACAUCCACAGAACUUUCCAGAGAUGGAUUGGUGCCUUCGGGAACUGUGAGACAGGUGCUGCAUGGCUGUCGUCAGCUCGUGUUGUGAAAUGUUGGGUUAAGUCCCGCAACGAGCGCAACCCUUAUCCUUUGUUGCCAGCGGUUAGGCCGGGAACUCAAAGGAGACUGCCAGUGAUAAACUGGAGGAAGGUGGGGAUGACGUCAAGUCAUCAUGGCCCUUACGACCAGGGCUACACACGUGCUACAAUGGCAUAUACAAAGAGAAGCGACCUCGCGAGAGCAAGCGGACCUCAUAAAGUAUGUCGUAGUCCGGAUUGGAGUCUGCAACUCGACUCCAUGAAGUCGGAAUCGCUAGUAAUCGUAGAUCAGAAUGCUACGGUGAAUACGUUCCCGGGCCUUGUACACACCGCCCGUCACACCAUGGGAGUGGGUUGCAAAAGAAGUAGGUAGCUUAACCUUCGGGAGGGCGCUUACCACUUUGUGAUUCAUGACUGGGGUGAAGUCGUAACAAGGUAACCGUAGGGGAACCUGCGGUUGGAUCACCUCCUUA
RNAcentral lists this ribosomal RNA (1278 nucleotides) under Klebsiella pneumoniae. RNAcentral describes it as "bacterial SSU rRNA". It matches the Rfam family "Bacterial small subunit ribosomal RNA", at positions 262 to 1533 of the family's 1533-position model. The record is from RNAcentral. Lineage: Bacteria; Pseudomonadati; Pseudomonadota; Gammaproteobacteria; Enterobacterales; Enterobacteriaceae.